AACGCACGAGACCUGCGGACCUGCGGAAGGAUCAUUACUGGGUUUUUGGGCUCUGCCCGCCACCCGCCCUCUGUUAUCAGUGACUAUUGUUUCGGCUCGGGCAACCGGCCGGCAGUACUCUUGAGUAAACUGAAGUCUGAUGCUAUGAAAAUAAAAAAACUUUUAACAACGGAUCUCU
RNAcentral lists this unclassified non-coding RNA (178 nucleotides) under soil metagenome. RNAcentral's name for it is "partial contains 5.8S ribosomal RNA, internal transcribed spacer 2, and large subunit ribosomal RNA". The record is from RNAcentral.